GGAAUAUAAGAAUCUAUUUUUUAACUUUUAACUAAAAAAAUUAAAAAUUAGCUCUUUAACAAGAGUUUUAAAAGACGGUUCUUAGUUUUUUUAAUUAAAAGUUAAGAGACGGGUUCUUAUAUUCC
Brassica oleracea var. oleracea is the source of this 125-nucleotide microRNA precursor. It matches the Rfam family "MIR9563 microRNA precursor family". The record is from Rfam. Lineage: Eukaryota; Viridiplantae; Streptophyta; Magnoliopsida; Brassicales; Brassicaceae.